Long non-coding RNA from Leopardus geoffroyi (Geoffroy's cat), 1105 nucleotides. RefSeq lists it as uncharacterized. The record is from RefSeq and is a predicted model, not a curated record. NCBI's taxonomy places the organism in Eukaryota, Metazoa, Chordata, Mammalia, Carnivora, Felidae. The transcript has 2 exons.
AAGGGGAGCUUAGAUGGCUUAAAGACCUAAAUAUAAAUUGUAAAAAUAUAAUGUCAAUAAAAAUUAAUAUAGCAAAGUAUCUUUGGGACCUCAAGAACCCAAACAGGAGGUAAAAAAUGGAUGGAACGCAUUAUUUAAGGAUGGGGAGGUUUGGGCUGACAAAUGGCUCCUGCCAUAAAACACUGUAAAGGGCGAAGAAAUCCAGGAACUGUGGGAUAGGAUGGUUGCUUCUACAGAGAUGGGUUCAUAAAGAAAGAGAUCAUUGAGGCUCAAAGGAUUAAAUUCUCAGCUCAAGGCAAUGCUUAGGUUGUUGCCAAAAGAAUCUUUUCUGUCUUACUAGCUUUAAGGCUGAAAUAACUGAAAACAAGGUCAUACUUAAUCCUACUCGUUGCCAACUUACACGAGGAGUUGCACUCACAGCUUCACCAGACCUUGUACUUUAGAGUAUUGAUCAGAAACAGGAGGACCUUGAUUUGGAAUAGGGAUCUAUGGGUAGGGGGAUUUGGAAGACAUGUGAUACCCUAAGCUACUGUGAACAACCCAGGUUUGAAUACUGUAAGUUCUGUGUCCCAGGAAACCCCUCAACCCCUAGGCAAAGUGUAAGAAUUGACGUCCUCCCUUGCUAAUCAACGUGGGAGCUCUUCCUGCCUAACGACGUUAUUACUGCCUUGCUUGAAGAUUUUGUGAUCGCCUCAGUUUACCUUCUGCUCUUCCCACAUUACUUCUCAUGACCUGCACAUUCUUAAUAUCAGAUUCCAGAGAGGAGCUGUGUUGGAUACAGUAGAAAGGGAAACCCAGGAGAAGAAGAUUCCCACCAAAAGAAUUCUUGACUUUGCUUAUUUAUAUUGGCAAAACCCCAAGAGUAAAUAUGGGAUUCUGAAAAUGUACUGAGAAAGGAGAAGUGCGCUUUUGGAUUGGAUAGAAUUGACUGAUAGGGAUGUACUUGCCACAGAUUUUGGAUUUGGUGUGCUGCCUUGAGCAGCUGAAAGUCAUUCUACUUGGUUCAGUUAGUUGACUGAAAUAUGGACUUAAUGAUGAAAUUAAAUGAAACUGAGAAUGCAAAUAUUUCCUGAAAUAAUAUAAAGGAAUUCAAAGAUUUCAAUGA